AAAUAAUGUCACUCUGCCACCUCAAAAGUAGCCUAACUAAUAGCACGUAAAAUAUAAAGGGAAGAUAGUAAUAAGUCUAAAACAACGGACCAUACCCUAAACAAAUCCAUUUCACGUUUGCUCAGCAUGGUAUGGUAUAUAUUAAAUGCCAAGGCAUCUUACCAGAUGAUGCUGGAUCAAUUGUCUCCAAAAACUCCUUUAGUAAUUGUUGAUAGAAU
This 218-nucleotide long non-coding RNA is filed under the name Olea europaea subsp. europaea. The record is from RNAcentral. Lineage: Eukaryota; Viridiplantae; Streptophyta; Magnoliopsida; Lamiales; Oleaceae.